Acanthosepion pharaonis is the source of this 102-nucleotide non-coding RNA. The record is from the annotation of a GenBank genome assembly. Lineage: Eukaryota; Metazoa; Mollusca; Cephalopoda; Sepiida; Sepiidae.
CAGGGUGCCACAACCGGUCCUCAUGCAAUCACGGUAGUUAAGCAACGUUGAGCCUGGUCAAUACCUAGAUAGGUGACCGCUAGAGAAUACCAGGUGUUGUAA